UUGAACGCUGGCGGCAGGCCUAACACAUGCAAGUCGAGCGGAUGAAGGGAGCUUGCUCCUGGAUUCAGCGGCGGACGGGUGAGUAAUGCCUAGGAAUCUGCCUGGUAGUGGGGGAUAACGUCCGGAAACGGGCGCUAAUACCGCAUACGUCCUGAGGGAGAAAGUGGGGGAUCUUCGGACCUCACGCUAUCAGAUGAGCCUAGGUCGGAUUAGCUAGUUGGUGGGGUAAAGGCCUACCAAGGCGACGAUCCGUAACUGGUCUGAGGGGAUGAUCAGUCACACUGGAACUGAGACACGGUCCAGACUCCUACGGGAGGCAGCAGUGGGGAAUAUUGGACAAUGGGCGAAAGCCUGAUCCAGCCAUGCCGCGUGUGUGAAGAAGGUCUUCGGAUUGUAAAGCACUUUAAGUUGGGAGGAAGGGCAGUAAGUUAAUACCUUGCUGUUUUGACGUUACCAACAGAAUAAGCACCGGCUAACUUCGUG
This 483-nucleotide ribosomal RNA is filed under the name uncultured bacterium. RNAcentral describes it as "partial 16S ribosomal RNA". It matches the Rfam family "Bacterial small subunit ribosomal RNA", at positions 30 to 507 of the family's 1533-position model. The record is from RNAcentral.